Molecule: non-coding RNA, 389 nt
Organism: Brachypodium distachyon (stiff brome)
Lineage: Eukaryota; Viridiplantae; Streptophyta; Magnoliopsida; Poales; Poaceae
Source: RefSeq, marked provisional
CCUCUUGACACUAUGUACUCCAAAUUCUUUUUGCCGAGGAGCUAGUAGAUCGGGAUGAAGUCAAGGAUCAGGCAAAGAAGAACCCUUGAAUUCAAUCCUACCAAGGAGCUAGUAUACGUCUUAUUGCAGUGCUUGCAACGCCAAGCUUUUGAUCCAUCGGAAUUUUUCCCCUUAGGUGCAGCGAGGGGAAUUAUGACUCAUCAAGUAGGGGUUUUGCCUGUUUAGCAGUACCCUGCUUGGACGAUUGAUCUUCUUCGUCCGAGUCGUCAUCGGGACGAGUAUGUUCAUCACCGACAUUGUUGAGAUCAAUGUCCGCGUCAGCCUCCUCGACUUCAUCCUGAUCUACUAGCUCCUCGGCAGAAAGAAAUUCAAGUACAUACUCUUACAUU